Molecule: ribosomal RNA, 239 nt
Filed under: Petteria ramentacea
Lineage: Eukaryota; Viridiplantae; Streptophyta; Magnoliopsida; Fabales; Fabaceae
Source: RNAcentral
UCGAAGCCUCACAAGCAGUGCGACCCCGUGAAUUUGUUUGACUACUCAGGGGUGGCUAGUGGUGUUCGUCACCUCGGUCCCCCUCAUGUCGGGAGGCGCCCCACCCUGCGUGGUCUCCUCCUGGCCCAAUAACAAAACCCCGGCGCCGAACGCGCCAAGGAAAUUGAAAUCGUCUAGUGCGCCCUCGUCGGCCCGGAGACGGUGCCCGUGCUGGUGGCGUUGCGACACGUGUAUCCGAA